Molecule: RNase P RNA, 351 nt
Filed under: Gammaproteobacteria bacterium
Lineage: Bacteria; Pseudomonadati; Pseudomonadota; Gammaproteobacteria
Description: RNase P RNA component class A
Rfam family: Bacterial RNase P class A
About the family: Ribonuclease P (RNase P) is a ubiquitous endoribonuclease, found in archaea, bacteria and eukarya as well as chloroplasts and mitochondria.
Source: RNAcentral
UGAGCCGGCCAAACAGCCGCCGCGUGCGCAGGCACGGGGAGGAAAGUCCGGGCUCCACAGGACUAGAGCGCCAGGUAACCCCUGGGGGGCGCGAGCCUACGGAAAGUGCAACAGAGAGUAGACCGCCGCCUCGUGAUGAGGCGGUAAGGGUGAAAGGGUGCGGUAAGAGCGCACCGCGCCGGGUGGCAACAUCCGGCGGCUAGGUAAACCCCGCUCGGAGCAAGGCCAAAUAGGGAUCCUAUGACGUUGGUCCGCGUCGGAUCCGGGUAGGCCGCUUGAGGCGCACGGUGACGUGCGCCCUAGAUGAAUGGCUGUUCUCGACAGAACCCGGCUUAUCGGCCGGCUCAAAUU